RNAcentral lists this ribosomal RNA (460 nucleotides) under uncultured bacterium. RNAcentral's name for it is "partial 16S ribosomal RNA". It matches the Rfam family "Bacterial small subunit ribosomal RNA", at positions 338 to 795 of the family's 1533-position model. The record is from RNAcentral.
CCUACGGGUGUCAGCAGUGAGGAAUAUUGGUCAAUGGGCGGAAGCCUGAACCAGCCAAGUAGCGUGCAGGAUGACGGCCCUACGGGUUGUAAACUGCUUUUAUACGGGAAUAACGCGCCUUCCGUGUAGGGCUUUGCAUGUACCGUAUUAAUAAGGACCGGCUAAUUCCGUGCCAGCCGCCGCGGUCAUACGGAGGGUCCGGGCGUUAUCCGGAUUUAUUGGUUUUAAAGGGAGCGUAGGCCGCAUGUCAAGCGUGCUGUGAAAUGUCCGGGCUCAACCCGGGCCUUGCAGCGCGAACUGGCGUGCUUGAGUCCGCGGAAAGCAGGCGGAAUUCGUCGUGUAGCGGUGAAAUGCUUAGAUAUGACGAAGAACCCCGAUUGCGAAGGCAGCUUGCUGCAGCGGAACUGACGCUGAUGCUCGAAAGCGCGGGUAUCGAACAGGAUUAGAUACCCUAGUAGUC